AUUGAACGCUGGCGGCAUGCUUUACACAUGCAAGUCGAACGGCAGCACAGGGAGCUUGCUCCUGGGUGGCGAGUGGCGAACGGGUGAGUAAUGUAUCGGAACGUGCCUGGUAGUGGGGGAUAACUACUCGAAAGAGUGGCUAAUACCGCAUGAGAUCUUUGGAUGAAAGCGGGGGACCUUCGGGCCUCGUGCUACUGGAGCGGCCGACGGCGGAUUAGGUUGUUGGUGGGGUAAAGGCCUACCAAGCCUGCGAUCUGUAGCUGGUCUGAGAGGACGACCAGCCACACUGGGACUGAGACACGGCCCAGACUCCCACGGGAGGCAGCAGUGGGGAAUUUUGGACAAUGGGCGCAAGCCUGAUCCAGCAAUGCCGCGUGCAGGACGAAGGCCUUCGGGUUGUAAACUGCUUUUGUACGGAACGAAAAGUCUCUGGCUAAUAUCUAGAGAUCAUGACGGUACUGGAAGAAUAAGCACCGGCUAACUACGUG
This 488-nucleotide ribosomal RNA is filed under the name uncultured bacterium. RNAcentral describes it as "partial 16S ribosomal RNA". It matches the Rfam family "Bacterial small subunit ribosomal RNA", at positions 30 to 507 of the family's 1533-position model. The record is from RNAcentral.